This is a non-coding RNA of Acanthosepion pharaonis, 114 nucleotides long. The record is from the annotation of a GenBank genome assembly. NCBI's taxonomy places the organism in Eukaryota, Metazoa, Mollusca, Cephalopoda, Sepiida, Sepiidae.
UAGCGGUCAUAUCAAACUGAAACAUCAGUUCUUAUUUGAUAACCAAAGUUAAGCAACAUUGAGUCUGGUCAGUGCCUUAAUGAGUGACCGCUUGGGAAUACUAGGUGCUGUAAG